GACAGAGGGGGCAAGCGUUGUCCGGAUUUACUGGGCGUACAGCGCGCGCAGGCGGCCAUGUAUGUGCUUGGUGACAUUCUCUCGCUUAACGAGAGACGGCCCAGGUAGACAGCAUAGCUGGAGGCAGGGAGAGGGUGACGGAAUGCCCGGUGGAGCGGUGAAAUGCGUAGAGAUCGGGCGGAACACCAGUGGGGAAGCCGGUCACCUGGCCCUGACCUGACGCUGAGGCGCGAUAGCGUGGGGAGCAAACGGG
RNAcentral lists this unclassified non-coding RNA (253 nucleotides) under uncultured Kallotenuales bacterium. RNAcentral describes it as "contains 16S-23S intergenic spacer region". It matches the Rfam family "Bacterial small subunit ribosomal RNA", at positions 524 to 776 of the family's 1533-position model. Lineage: Bacteria; Bacillati; Chloroflexota; Chloroflexia; Kallotenuales. The record is from RNAcentral.